This 253-nucleotide ribosomal RNA is filed under the name uncultured bacterium. Its description in RNAcentral is "partial 16S ribosomal RNA". It matches the Rfam family "Bacterial small subunit ribosomal RNA", at positions 524 to 776 of the family's 1533-position model. The record is from RNAcentral.
GACAGAGGUGCCGAGCGUUAGGCGGAAUCACUGGGCUUAAAGCGUGUGUAGGCGGUGGCCUAAGUACCUUGUGAAAUCCCACGGCUCAACCGUGGAACUGCUUGGUAUACUGGGUCUCUUGAGCCACCUAGGGGCAAGUGGAACAAACGGUGGAGCGGUGAAAUGCGUAGAUAUCGUUUGGAACGCCAAUGGUGAAAACAACUUGCUGGGGGUGUGCUGACGCUGAGACACGAAAGCCAGGGGAGCAAACGGG